This 219-nucleotide long non-coding RNA is filed under the name Ricinus communis (castor bean). Its description in RNAcentral is "long non-coding RNA (RCOM_LNC003670)". Lineage: Eukaryota; Viridiplantae; Streptophyta; Magnoliopsida; Malpighiales; Euphorbiaceae. The record is from RNAcentral.
GAUGAUCUCCGAGCUUGGGCGUGUUAUUAGGCAGAUGUUGCACUGCGAGGGCAUGUCAUUCAAUUGUAUUGCCUGAGCUCGUGUCGCGGAAGCUUAUGCGCACUCCCUGUUGCGAGGAGUUUGGAUCCGGUCGAUGAUACAUUUCUUGCAUGGGCUCGUGCUUGUGUUGAGGCUAGAGACGAGCUGCAGUGCUCGGGCGUCCUAUGCACGUAGUUUUGA